UACGUAGGCAGCAAGCGUUGUUCGGAGUUACUGGGCGUAAAGGGUGUGUAGGCGGUCCUCUAAGUUUGGUGUGAAAUCUCCCGGCUCAACUGGGAGGGUGCGCCGAAAACUGGGGGGCUAGAGUACUGGAUGGGAGAGUGGAAUUCCUGGUGUAGCGGUGAAAUGCGUAGAUAUCAGGAGGAACACCUGUGGUGUAGACGGCUCUCUGGACAGUAACUGACGCUGAGGAGCGAAAGCGUGGGGAGCGAACAGG
This 253-nucleotide ribosomal RNA is filed under the name uncultured bacterium. Its description in RNAcentral is "partial 16S ribosomal RNA". It matches the Rfam family "Bacterial small subunit ribosomal RNA", at positions 524 to 776 of the family's 1533-position model. The record is from RNAcentral.